UUCUCUCUUUCUCUCUCUCUCUCUCGCGCGCGCGCUUUUUUCUCGUCGUACUUGGACGAACGCGUAUUAUCAGGAUUAUUUGGCGCGUUGAGCACCGCGUACGAUUCAGAUAGGAGCUCUAAAUGCGGCGAAGCUCCUAUUUAGACUCCACGGUUGACUCACGCGGCCGUUAUUUUUGGAAAGUGGCGUGUUUUCGUUCGUUCGGCUGCGCAUACCGCGAAGCAAGCGAGAGAGAGAGAGAGAGAGAGAAACGAAGAGAAGCGCGUGCGUAAGCGAAAUGAGUUUACGUUUUCACGUGCAUGCGUGCAUGCGAUUACGGACGAGUACGAGCGAAUGACGUCACAAAUUUGCGUAUUACUACGCGGAAUGGUCGGAGAGAACGCCGAGGCGCGGUAAUUUUGAAUCGGCGGAAUUUCGUGAAAUUUAACGUCAAAUUUCGGGUUACGGAAGGAUUUGCUCAUUUGGCACGCAUUUUCGAUUAGAAAAUGAUUUUCUCGCUAGCUCGUAGGAGCCGUGUCGUUCGAACGGCCCUACGAGCUCGAUUGCGUCGCCCACGUAGGCGGAAAAUAAGUUUUUAUCGAUCACUAACCUACGACAACCAUCUGGCCCGGCCUGGCCCUCGACUAACCGUGGCACGCGUAAUAGGGGUGGAGCUCGAUUCCAAAGUCUCCCGAGAACGCUAGCCAACGACGAUGACGAGGAAGAUGAACGAGGAGAAUAGAAUCGUCGCUUCACGGCUGGUCAUCUCCCUGGAGAUUCGUCGGAAUGAUUUAACGGCAAGACGUUAAUUAACGGCAAGUCCCUCGUCACUGACCUUGCUACUCUUUGUGGAAGGAGCCAUAUUAUAGCGUCGACUAUACGUCUGGGACCUACCCCAAUCAAAUCGAGACUAAACUUCUUCCCUCUCCCAUGGCAGAGCUCGCUCUAAUCGCCCUUAGUCACGCUAGGAGGAAUUGUAGGAAGAGAGCGAAUGGAAAGCGGAAAGGACAGAUAGAGUCGCACGAUAUCAACGAUUAAAGUAAUCAAAUUCUUAUAACAAUUUCAAAACGUUAAAAAACUUUUAUCCAAAUAUAAUCGACUAGCAGGAGGAAAAAGAAAGGAAAUUGUCGGGCAAUCCUCGAAGCUACAAGUCUUCGAUAAUUUGCAUAUCUCAGCAGUAUUCCAAACGUCUUUGAGAAAGUCGAGGAAGGUGGUAUAGAAAAUUUCCACCUUUCAACCUUCUUCCUGCUUCUCUCGCUUGGCGACGAAGAGGACUAAGAUGACGACGACGACGACGACGACGACGACAACGACGACGACGGCGACGGCGACGACGUCUCGUCGAUUCGGGCUUUCGGGCUUUCGCUAAAACGCUAUAUAGUCCAGGUUCGAGGGAGAAUGCCGUGUAGUCUUCGGUCUGACGCACGAUAUAACGUUGGCAUGGCUGGAGGACUAUAGUCACUGGCUAGACUGCACCCCCGUCGAGUGUAGGCGGAGGGGGAAGGUCGACGUGGUUCGGGGCUUGGCUCGGAGGGGUGAGAAGGGAUGCAGACCGGAGCGAGAGAGGGCGGGGACUCCUACCACGGUGUUCGAGGUAGGGGGCGCUGGCUAGACACCGCUCAGACGGUCCAGGGGGUCGCAGGGGGUAAUUUCUGCAUUGGCGUCAACACCAACUAGGAAACUUUGCGAUUCUACUUGCAGCUGCCGGCUCGUGCGCGUGAAGCUCUUUUCCAAAGACUCCUCGGAGUGAAUUCAACCGAUUUGCCGGUGGCGUCAACUCGAUCGUCGAUUCGAAGCAUCGCGAGAACGCCACUCGAGUCUCCGGAAGCGCGAAGCGUCGGCUGCCUGGCGAACGAACGAACGGAUGGUUGGACGGAUGGAUAGGAUACGCAGGGACAGGUGGCUCUUCGACGAUCCUAAGUGGGCAGGAAGGACACCCGGGUUCUGACGAGGGGCGAGAGACAGACGGAUGGACUAGCUUGUUCGCUUACAAGUCAAAGAGAGGGAGAGGGAGAGGGAGAGAGAGAGAGAGAGAGGGUACAGUUUCGUGUUCGCCCGAUGCGUGCAAUGCAAUUUCCCGCAGGGCCGUCUGUCCGCUUGUGCGGUCGUGCAUGCCACUUACGCCAUUGUUCCUCCCCCUUUUCGCAUACGAAAGUGAACAUUCCCGAGAUCCGGGAGGAAUAUAACGCGAGCGAGCUGCUGACCCCUUGUCUCAAGGCGUAACACCUCGUCUACGAGAUGUAACCGAAUAAUGCUUUCUCUCUCUCUCUCUCUCUCUCUCUCUCGCGAUGAAUAGUAUUGAACAUCAGCAUUAACAUAUAAUUACUCGAAUCUUCGCUAUUUUUCAUUUCAUCUAGUUGAUCAGUUGGCGCUCCGAGAAGAUCAUUUAACGCACGGUUUAUCCUACAGCAGGAUGUACAUCUAGAAGAUGAAUAUCUUUUGGUCGAGCAAGCUCUCGGAAUGCGAGAGAAGAAAGGAAGGAAGACGUCUAGGGAUCGAUUCGAGCAAGCGGGAAACUAUGCGACUGGAGAAUAAUUUAUGCGAUAUUUUCCCGCAAAGCGAUAUUGUUACCGUGCGAGGGCACGAAUUGGAAACGUUCCACUUGGAUUGGUUCCAUCGGUUCGAGAUAGGACGGAUCAUCCAAGAGUUUUCACGCGUUUUCGU
Vespula pensylvanica (western yellowjacket) is the source of this 2643-nucleotide long non-coding RNA. RefSeq lists it as uncharacterized. NCBI's taxonomy places the organism in Eukaryota, Metazoa, Arthropoda, Insecta, Hymenoptera, Vespidae. The transcript has 3 exons. The record is from RefSeq and is a predicted model, not a curated record.